GGGUUGUGAGGUUAAGCGACUAAGCGUACACGGUGGAUGCCCUGGCAGUCAGAGGCGAUGAAGGACGUGCUAAUCUGCGAUAAGCGCCGGUAAGGUGAUAUGAACCGUUAUAACCGGCGAUUUCCGAAUGGGGAAACCCAGUGUGAUUCGUCACACUAUCAUUAACUGAAUCCAUAGGUUAAUGAGGCGAACCGGGGGAACUGAAACAUCUAAGUACCCCGAGGAA
RNAcentral lists this ribosomal RNA (226 nucleotides) under Salmonella enterica. RNAcentral's name for it is "partial 23S ribosomal RNA". It matches the Rfam family "Bacterial large subunit ribosomal RNA", at positions 1 to 218 of the family's 2925-position model. Lineage: Bacteria; Pseudomonadati; Pseudomonadota; Gammaproteobacteria; Enterobacterales; Enterobacteriaceae. RNAcentral also lists the same sequence under 1 other name. The record is from RNAcentral.